Non-coding RNA from Colinus virginianus (northern bobwhite), 136 nucleotides. Lineage: Eukaryota; Metazoa; Chordata; Aves; Galliformes; Odontophoridae. The record is from Rfam.
UCCCUCCCGAUCCCUUUCCCAUCAGAUCUGAAUACCGAUCUUGUGGUCGAAAAAGGAGGAAAAAUAAAAUUCAGACUGGCCUUGGCCUCUUUGCUGGCUCGGCCCUGCUCUGAGUGGGGCCAGUUUGAAGACAAUG